This 744-nucleotide ribosomal RNA is filed under the name Triticum aestivum (bread wheat). RNAcentral describes it as "partial small subunit ribosomal RNA". Lineage: Eukaryota; Viridiplantae; Streptophyta; Magnoliopsida; Poales; Poaceae. The record is from RNAcentral.
AUGUCGUCUGACGAUGGAAAAAAUUUCAUUAUGUGCGAAUACUGUGAAGACCAGAGCGGCCAGUGCGACAGAAAUUUCCUUGUUGAUGAUAGGCGAUUCAGCAUCAAGCUGGAUGAGACCUUCGAAUUCGAUACACGCAUCCCCUGCCAUGCAAGAAUUUUUGUCUUGGAUAAGAUAGGUUUUAAGGAUAUGGAAACUAUGGAGGUAAAGGGAGUUUACCUGAAAACUGAGCAUGGUUAUACUUUCAACGUCAAAGUAUACAAUGCACACACGUACACCUAUUUUGAAUGCAAAACUUGGCAAGCACUAUGCAAGGCUUAUGCAUUUGAGCCUGGUAUGGUUAUUACCUCUGAUAUUCGUCCGGAAGAUGAUAUUGAAGGUAAUAGAGACAUAUGGGUCGAUGUGCAGACGCCUCCAGUUCUACCAUUAUCUUAUUUCCAUUCAAGCAAACAUGUCCGGCACUUGGUGGACAUGACCUACUACUGUCCCGGAGCUGAACUAAACUGCGAGGAGAUAAGUCAUUAUGUUUCAUGGCUUGAGGAUCUUCAUACUGUGAAGACAAAUUUUCUUCCUGCACUUAGAAAUGUUAGUACUCAAAACGUGCGACCAAUAGUGAUGGUAUUGAACUACGGUCACAUCUAUUUAGGAAUGAUGGUAAUAUUUUUACUAUUUGUCCUCAGUGCAUCUUUUGCAUACAUAAUUUUUUUUCUAACUUUCAUUGCUAAGUAUAUUAAUUUUAAUUAA